RNAcentral lists this ribosomal RNA (253 nucleotides) under uncultured bacterium. Its description in RNAcentral is "partial 16S ribosomal RNA". It matches the Rfam family "Bacterial small subunit ribosomal RNA", at positions 524 to 776 of the family's 1533-position model. The record is from RNAcentral.
UACGUAGGGUGCAAGCGUUGUCCGGAAUUACUGGGCGUAAAGAGCUCGUAGGCGGUUUGUCGCGUCGUCUGUGAAAUCCCGCAGCUCAACUGCGGGCUUGCAGGCGAUACGGGCAGACUUGAGUACUGCAGGGGAGACUGGAAUUCCUGGUGUAGCGGUGAAAUGCGCAGAUAUCAGGAAGAACACCCGUGGCGAAGGCGGUUCUCUGGGACGGUACUGACGCUGAGACGCGAAAGCGUGGGGAGCGAACAGG